CUUUAGUUUGACGCCCCGAAACCAGGUGAGCUACCCCGAGACAGCCUAAAUAACUUAGGGCUAACCCGUCUCUGUGGCAAAAGAGUGGGAAGAGCUCCGGGUAGAAGUGACAGACCUACCGAACCUGGUGAUAGCUGGUUGCCUGAGAAGUGGAUAGAAGUUCAGCCCCAUGCACCCCGAACCAAGGACAUUUUACCUUAAGGUUUUAGGGAUAAACACGGGAGUUAGUUAAAGGGGGUACAGCCCCUAUGACAAAGGACACAACCUUCACAGGAGAAUAAAGAUCACAAUGCACAAGACACCCUGUUCUAGUGGGCCUAAAAGCAGCCACCUAAGCAGAAAGCGUUAAAGCUCAGACAGAAGAAAGUUUAUUAUACUGAUAAAAAAAUCUUACUUCCCUAACAAUAUCAGGCUAAUCCAUGCCAACAUGGAAGAAAUUAUGCUAAAAUGAGUAACAAGAAGACCCGCUCUUCUCCAAGCACAAGUGUAAACCAGAUCGGACAAACCACCGGAAAUUAACGAACCCAAACAAAGAGGGCAGUGUGAACAACAAAGAAAUCAGGAAAAUCCCACAACUAGGCCAUCGUUAACCCCACACUGGAGUGCUAUUUAUAAAGGAAAGACUAAAAGAAAGGGAAGGAACUCGGCAAACACAAGCCUCGCCUGUUUACCAAAAACAUCGCCUCCUGCAACUAUAUUAGGUAUAGGAGGUCCAGCCUGCCCAGUGACUACGGGUUCAACGGCCGCGGUAUUUUGACCGUGCAAAGGUAGCGCAAUCACUUGUCUUUUAAAUAGAGACCUGUAUGAAUGGCUAAACGAGGGCUUAACUGUCUCCCCCUUCUGGUCAGUGAAAUUGAUCUACCCGUGCAGAAGCGGGUGUAACACCACAAGACGAGAAGACCCUUUGGAGCUUAAGGUACAAGAUUCAACCACGUCAAGCGACUUAAUAAGAAGCAGGAACUUAGUGGGAAGUGAAGCUUUACCUUCGGUUGGGGCGACCGCGGAGGAAAAACCAGCCUCCGAGCGGAAUGGGCCAAGUCCCUAAAACUAAGAGAGACAUCUCUAAGCCGCAGAACAUCUGACCAUAAAUGAUCCGGCCCAAGCAGCCGAUCAACGAACCAAGUUACCCUAGGGAUAACAGCGCAAUCCUCUCCCAGAGUCCAUAUCGACGAGGGGGUUUACGACCUCGAUGUUGGAUCAGGACAUCCUAAUGGUGCAGCCG
RNAcentral lists this ribosomal RNA (1222 nucleotides) under Squalidus gracilis gracilis. Its description in RNAcentral is "partial 16S ribosomal RNA". It matches the Rfam family "Bacterial large subunit ribosomal RNA", at positions 700 to 2561 of the family's 2925-position model. The record is from RNAcentral. Lineage: Eukaryota; Metazoa; Chordata; Actinopteri; Cypriniformes; Gobionidae.